Molecule: long non-coding RNA, 224 nt
Filed under: Medicago truncatula (barrel medic)
Lineage: Eukaryota; Viridiplantae; Streptophyta; Magnoliopsida; Fabales; Fabaceae
Description: long non-coding RNA (MTRU_LNC003209)
Source: RNAcentral
GCGAGAAAAGAUAAAAGCGUAGGUACCUUAUGGUGGCGUUGGACCACCACAAAGACCAUUAACCUAAUCUAGAAACAUAAAGAGAAAGGCAUACACACCUACAACUAUUACAAAAAACCCUAUUAUACAUGCUAUGGUCUGCGAGAAAGUAAAUGACGGAAAUAAUUUACAUUUAAACCUAAUUUACAUUCUAAGUUACGAAAAUAAAUAAAUUACAUCAAAAG